UACGAGGGGAGCUAGCGUUGUUCGGAAUUACUGGGCGUAAAGGGCGCGUAGGCGGUACUAUAAGUCAGAUGUGAAAGCCCUGGGCUUAACCUAGGAUGUGCAUUUGAUACUGUAGAACUAGAGAUCGAGAGAGGAAAGUGGAAUUAUGAGUGUAGAGGUGAAAUUCGUAGAUAUUCAUAAGAACACCAGUGGCGAAGGCGACUUUCUGGCUCGAUACUGACGCUAAGGCGCGAAAGCGUGGGGAGCAAACAGG
RNAcentral lists this ribosomal RNA (253 nucleotides) under uncultured bacterium. Its description in RNAcentral is "partial 16S ribosomal RNA". It matches the Rfam family "Bacterial small subunit ribosomal RNA", at positions 524 to 776 of the family's 1533-position model. The record is from RNAcentral.